RNAcentral lists this unclassified non-coding RNA (232 nucleotides) under uncultured fungus. Its description in RNAcentral is "sequence contains ITS1, 5.8S rRNA gene". The stretch from base 184 to 232 matches the Rfam family "5.8S ribosomal RNA", at positions 1 to 49 of the family's 154-position model. Lineage: Eukaryota; Fungi. The record is from RNAcentral.
UCUCCGUAGGUGAACCUGCGGAGGGAUCAUUACAAGAGCGAGGGCCCUCGUGGCCCGAACCUCCAACCCUUUUGUGAACCACCUCGUUGCUUUGGGGGCGACCCUGCCGUUCGCGGCGUGGGGCCCCCGGAGCCCAUCAAACCCUGCGUAACUAAGUCGUCGGAGUUUAAACAAAUUAAACAAAACUUUCAACAACGGAUCUCUUGGUUCGGGCAUCGAUGAAGAACGCAGC